CCCGUACACAAAAGUGCAUGUGUUGUGAACUCGAAGAGUAGGGCGGGACACGUGGUAUCCUGUCUGAAUAUGGGGGGACCAUCCUCCAAGGCUAAAUACUCCUGACUGACCGAUAGUGAACCAGUACCGUGAGGGAAAGGCGAAAAGAACCCCGGCGAGGGGAGUGAAAAAGAACCUGAAACCGUGUACGUACAAGCAGUGGGAGCCUCUUUAUGGGGUGACUGCGUACCUUUUGUAUAAUGGGUCAGCGACUUAUAUUCUGUAGCAAGGUUAACCGAAUAGGGGAGCCGAAGGGAAACCGAGUCUUAACUGGGCGUUAAGUUGCAGGGUAUAGACCCGAAACCCGGUGAUCUAGCCAUGGGCAGGUUGAAGGUUGGGUAACACUAACUGGAGGACCGAACCGACUAAUGUUGAAAAAUUAGCGGAUGACUUGUGGCUGGGGGUGAAAGGCCAAUCAAACCGGGAGAUAGCUGGUUCUCCCCGAAAGCUAUUUAGGUAGCGCCUCGUGAAUUCAUCUUCGGGGGUAGAGCACUGUUUCGGCUAGGGGGUCAUCCCGACUUACCAACCCGAUGCAAACUGCGAAUACCGAAGAAUGUUAUCACGGGAGACACACGGCGGGUGCUAACGUCCGUCGUGAAGAGGGAAACAACCCAGACCGCCAGCUAAGGUCCCAAAGUCAUGGUUAAGUGGGAAACGAUGUGGGAAGGCACAGACAGCCAGGAUGUUGGCUUAGAAGCAGCCAUCAUUUAAAGAAAGCGUAAUAGCUCACUGGUCGAGUCGGCCUGCGCGGAAGAUGUAACGGGGCUAAACCAUGCACCGAAGCUGCGGCAGCGACACUAUGUGUUGUUGGGUAGGGGAGCGUUCUGUAAGCCGUUGAAGGUGUGCUGUGAGGCAUGCUGGAGGUAUCAGAAGUGCGAAUGCUGACAUAAGUAACGAUAAUGCGGGUGAAAAACCCGCACGCCGGAAGACCAAGGGUUCCUGUCCAACG
RNAcentral lists this ribosomal RNA (988 nucleotides) under Citrobacter braakii. RNAcentral's name for it is "bacterial LSU rRNA". It matches the Rfam family "Bacterial large subunit ribosomal RNA", at positions 372 to 1364 of the family's 2925-position model. The record is from RNAcentral. Lineage: Bacteria; Pseudomonadati; Pseudomonadota; Gammaproteobacteria; Enterobacterales; Enterobacteriaceae.